Molecule: RNase P RNA, 385 nt
Filed under: Bacteroidales bacterium
Lineage: Bacteria; Pseudomonadati; Bacteroidota; Bacteroidia; Bacteroidales
Description: RNase P RNA component class A
Rfam family: Bacterial RNase P class A
About the family: Ribonuclease P (RNase P) is a ubiquitous endoribonuclease, found in archaea, bacteria and eukarya as well as chloroplasts and mitochondria. Its best characterised activity is the generation of mature 5'-ends of tRNAs by cleaving the 5'-leader elements of precursor-tRNAs.
Source: RNAcentral
AAAGCAACGUGUUCUGUCGCUUCCGGUUGAAAAACAGGAAGAGGAAAGUCGGGGCAAUACAGGGCGCCAUACUUCCUAACGGGAAGGUUCCGCUGCCGGCGGAAACAGCAAGUGCCACAGAAAAUAACCGUCCCGCCACGGCGGGAUAAGGGUGAAAAUGUGGGGUAAGAGCCCACGGGCAUGGCUGGCAACAGUCAGGUCGGGUAAACCUUAUGGAUUGAAAGGCCAAAUAUACCGGAACGUACCGCUUAACCGCGGUACAAGGGGCUGCCCGCUCUUCCGGGGGGUAGGUCGUUUGAGCCUUGCAGUGAUGCAUGGCCUAGAUAAAUGACAGAAAUCCUGUAUUUGCAGGAUACAGAACCCCGCUUACAACGUUGUACGGCAC